UACGAAGGGGGCUAGCGUUGUUCGGAAUUACUGGGCGUAAAGCGCACGUAGGCGGGUCGUUAAGUCAGGGGUGAAAUCCCAGAGCUCAACUCUGGAACUGCCUUUGAUACUGGCGACCUAGAGUCCGGAAGAGGUUAGUGGAAUUCCCAGUGUAGAGGUGAAAUUCGUAGAUAUUGGGAAGAACACCAGUGGCGAAGGCGGCUAACUGGUCCGGUACUGACGCUGAGGUGCGAAAGCGUGGGGAGCAAACAGGG
Molecule: ribosomal RNA, 254 nt
Filed under: uncultured bacterium
Lineage: Bacteria
Description: partial 16S ribosomal RNA
Rfam family: Bacterial small subunit ribosomal RNA
Source: RNAcentral